This 877-nucleotide ribosomal RNA is filed under the name uncultured Bacteroidota bacterium. RNAcentral describes it as "bacterial SSU rRNA". It matches the Rfam family "Bacterial small subunit ribosomal RNA", at positions 37 to 916 of the family's 1533-position model. Lineage: Bacteria; Pseudomonadati; Bacteroidota. The record is from RNAcentral.
CGGCGGCAGGCUACCAUGCAGUCGAGGGGCAACAGGUGUAGCAAUACAUGCUGGCGACCGGCGCACGGGUGAGUAACGCGUAUGCAACCUACCCAUAACAAGGGGAUAGCUUCCGGAAACGGGAAUUAAUACCCUAUAGCACCUAUAUACCGCAUGGUAUUAAGGUUAAAACUACGGUGGUUAUGGAUGGGCAUGCGUGCCAUUAGUUAGUUGGCGGGGUAACGGCCCACCAAGACUGUGAUGGCUAGGGGGUCUAAAAGGAUGAUCCCCCACACUGGUACUGAGACACGGACCAGACUCCUACGGGAGGCAGCAGUGAGGAAUAUUGGUCAAUGGGCGAGAGCCUGAACCAGCCAUGCCGCGUGCAGGAAGACGGCCCUAUGGGUUGUAAACUGCUUUUGUUUGGGAAUAAAAGGCGCUACGUGUAGUGCACUGAAGGUACCAGAUGAAUAAGCAUCGGCUAACUCCGUGCCAGCAGCCGCGGUAAUACGGAGGAUGCGAGCGUUAUCCGGAUUUAUUAGGUUUAAAGGGUGUGUAGGCGGAAGACUAAGUCAGUGGUGAAAUCCCUCAGCUUAACUGGGGAACUGCCAUAGAUACUGGUUUUCUUGAGUACAGUUGAAGUAGGCGGAAUGUGUAAUGUAGCGGUGAAAUGCUUAGAUAUUACACAGAACACCGAUUGCGAAGGCAGCUUGCUAAGCUGUUACUGACGCUGAUGCACGAAAGCGUGGGGAGCGAACAGGAUUAGAUACCCUGGUAGUCCACGCCGUAAACGAUGAUUACUCGUUGUUGGCGAUAUAUAGUCAGCGACUGAGCGAAAGCAUUAAGUAAUCCACCUGGGGAGUACGGCGGCAACGCUGAAACUCAAAGGAAUUGACGG